RNA transcript from Fragaria vesca subsp. vesca, 895 nucleotides. RefSeq lists it as uncharacterized. The transcript is spliced from 3 exons. The record is from RefSeq and is a predicted model, not a curated record. NCBI's taxonomy places the organism in Eukaryota, Viridiplantae, Streptophyta, Magnoliopsida, Rosales, Rosaceae.
AUACAAUCCUUGUUAGUACUACUGUACAAGUCCAAAGGUGGGUGUGACCACAAUCCAAUGAAGUCUGCAAAACAAGGCAGAAAUCCACUGAAGACUGGAGAGAGGCACAAAACUAAGGGAAGCGGCCUAUAGUUUACCUCAUCAAAACCAGGGUUCCUAAAAGCUUAGAUAAAACCAUCUAUACCAGACCAGCGGCCACGUACGUACAGUUCUAACCCACCAAAAGUAAAAAACAGAAGCACGGUGCCCAAGAUAUCAUCCACUUCUCUCUAUAUAUACCAGACCUCCAAAGCUCUUUUCUACUCAUUCAUCUCUUUCAGUUCAACAUAUACUCGGAUCAUUAGUUUUCAGUUUUCCUGAGAAGUACUACCUGCUAAAGAAGAAGAAGAAGAUACUAAUCACAUAUGGAGUCGAUUCAGUCUUGGGUUUCAAAGAACAAGCUGGCCAGCAUUGGAGGACUAUGGGCAACAGGAGUUGGCGCAUCCCUUGCUUAUUCAACUGCAAGGACUCCUCUCAAGACCAGCCUCAAGCUUAUACAUGCUAGGAUGCACGCACAAGCCUUGACACUAGGUGUCCUAUCCGCCGCGGCGGUCUUCCAUUACUAUGAUCAGCAGCGUGCUGGUGAAGAAGCACACGGUGCUGCUGCUUCUGCAAAUUAACUAUAUGUAGUUAGCUAGUCGAUCACCACGAAGCUAGCUAGCUAUGGCUGCCUGAACUACUAAAGCUCCACAAAUGCAUCAUCUCUAUCAAGUUCAUCUAUCCAAGGAGUUCAUUUCAACGUUUAUUAGUUAAUUUUGUAGGUCCCUAAUGUAUGUUCUGUUUUAAUUUCUUAAUUUCCCUAUGUCCCUUCACCAGUUGUAUAAUAUGCAAAUAUAUGAAUAUUUAAGUACACCAC